This 71-nucleotide transfer RNA is filed under the name Cavia porcellus (domestic guinea pig). It matches the Rfam family "tRNA". From Rfam's summary of the family: Transfer RNA (tRNA) molecules are approximately 80 nucleotides in length. Their secondary structure includes four short double-helical elements and three loops (D, anti-codon, and T loops). The record is from Rfam by way of RNAcentral. Lineage: Eukaryota; Metazoa; Chordata; Mammalia; Rodentia; Caviidae.
UGGGGUUUAGUUUAGUGGCAUAAACACCUGUCUUACAAACAUGAGGUUGUGAGUUUGAUCCCCAGCACCAA